CAGAUUGACAUCAUGUGAGAAAAAGAGAAGGAGAAAAAUAUACCUAAAAAAUUAAAGUAUGGAACAGUGUGUCAUAGGAGGAGGAAGCAGAGAUAGUGUAUACCGUUGUCAGAAAAAAGGCGAGUACACAAAUGACCCUGACAGAGGAGACUUCGCUGUCAAAACAGUAUUUCCCUAAACCAGUACAGGCAGUAUUCUGUAACAGCAGUCAUUGAAAAGAGCAAGAAGAGAACCCGAUAGUAAGAUUUCUCAUCAGAUAGAAAUGGCUUGGAAAUGGUUUCUGAUGUGAGUCAGCAAAGGAACUCACCUGCCUCAAGUGCUGGAGUCACAGUGAGCUUGAGCUGGGAGAGCCUCACAGGACAUUCAGGUACAGACAUCACAGUGUGGUUGCCUAAAACGUUCUAAGAGGAA
This 411-nucleotide long non-coding RNA is filed under the name Struthio camelus australis. RNAcentral describes it as "lncRNA (ENSSCUG00000012789.1)". The record is from RNAcentral. Lineage: Eukaryota; Metazoa; Chordata; Aves; Struthioniformes; Struthionidae.